Molecule: long non-coding RNA, 414 nt
Filed under: Brassica napus (rape)
Lineage: Eukaryota; Viridiplantae; Streptophyta; Magnoliopsida; Brassicales; Brassicaceae
Description: long non-coding RNA (BNAP_LNC020051)
Source: RNAcentral
UUUAAUUUUGAAAAGCAUAUUAUUAUUUUUUUAAUUUUUAAAAACAUUAAUUUAUGAAAACAUAUUUUCAAACUUUUGACCACAGUUUUUUUUUGUAUUGAAUAAAUAUAGUUUGACAAAGGGAAAAUUUGUAUUGAUUAUGGUCCACGGAAACAGAGUCAUGCCUGGAUGAGCAGAAGCGUGGAAAAAACCUGUACAAACUAAUGCUAAGUCAGCAACAAACUGUCUGAUGUGGCACUUAUGACCUCUUCUUUGCUUUUGACUUCCUCAAGACUAGACACAUUCAAACCCCUUAUUAUUGUUAUUUUUCAAUUUUUUUUGAUUGACCAGGUGUUGACCUUGCGGCCCCCCACCUAGGCCCAGCGCCAACCUUUACCUGUACCUUUUUACAGGCCCUGGACACGUCUCCCCCUC